Molecule: ribosomal RNA, 541 nt
Filed under: uncultured bacterium
Lineage: Bacteria
Description: bacterial SSU rRNA
Rfam family: Bacterial small subunit ribosomal RNA
Source: RNAcentral
AAUAGAUACCGGGUAGUCCACGCCGUAAACGUUGGAUACUAGGUGUGGCGGUUAUACCAAUGACUGCCGUGCCGAAGCUAACGCAUUAAGUAUCCCGCCUGGGGAGUACGGCCGCAAGGCUAAAACUCAAAGGAAUUGACGGGUCCCCGCACAAGCGGCGGAGCAUGCGGCUUAAUUCGAUGCAACCCGAAGAACCUUACCUGGGUUUGACAUCACGGGAAAAGCUGUAGAAAUACAGUGUCCAUUAGGGCCCGUGACAGGUGGUGCAUGGCUGUCGUCAGCUCGUGUCGUGAGAUGUUGGGUUAAGUCCCGCAACGAGCGCAACCCUUGUCCUAUGUUGCCAGCGGUUCGGCCGGGGACUCAUAGGAGACUGCCGGGGAUAACUCGGAGGAAGGUGAGGACGACGUCAAGUCAUCAUGCCCCUUAUAUCCAGGGCUGCACGCAUGCUACAAUGGCCGGUACAACGGGGCAGCGGCCCCGCGAGGGUGAGCGAAUCCUAAAAGCCGGUCCUAGUUCGGAUUGAAGUCUGCAACUCGACUUC